RNAcentral lists this ribosomal RNA (257 nucleotides) under uncultured bacterium. Its description in RNAcentral is "partial 16S ribosomal RNA". It matches the Rfam family "Bacterial small subunit ribosomal RNA", at positions 524 to 776 of the family's 1533-position model. The record is from RNAcentral.
UACGUAGGGUGCAAGCGUUUGUCCGGAAUUAUUGGGCGUAAAGAGCUCGUAGGCGGUUUGUCGCGUCUGUUGUGAAAACGCGAGGCUCAACCUCGCGCCUGCAGUGGGGUACGGGCAGACUAGAGUGUGGUAGGGGGAGAUUGGAAUUCCUGGUGUAGCGGUGGAAUGCGCAGAUAUCAGGAGGAACACCGAUGGCGAAGGCAGAUCUCUGGGCCAUUACUGACGCUGAGGAGCGAAAGCGUGGGGGAGCAAACAGG